Molecule: non-coding RNA, 205 nt
Filed under: Sphingopyxis macrogoltabida
Lineage: Bacteria; Pseudomonadati; Pseudomonadota; Alphaproteobacteria; Sphingomonadales; Sphingopyxidaceae
Source: RNAcentral
UAUGCUUCAGCCUGUCGAGGUUCUCCGCGUCCGCUUUGCGGGCAAGGAGCUAAGACGGGAAGCCGGUGCAAAACCGGCGCUGCCCCCGCAACUGUAAGCGGUGAGCGGCGGUCGCUACGUGUCACUGGUCCGGCAAGGGACCGGGAAGGCCAGACCGCCGCGGCGAUCCGCGAGCCAGGAGACCUGCCUCGUCAGAUACGUCCUC